RNAcentral lists this ribosomal RNA (292 nucleotides) under uncultured bacterium. RNAcentral's name for it is "partial 16S ribosomal RNA". It matches the Rfam family "Bacterial small subunit ribosomal RNA", at positions 505 to 796 of the family's 1533-position model. The record is from RNAcentral.
GUGUCAGCCGCCGCGGUAAUACGGGGGGGGCAAGCGUUGUUCGGAAUUACUGGGCGUAAAGGGCUCGUAGGUGGCCAACUAAGUCAGACGUGAAAUCCCCCGGCUUAACCAGGGAACUGCGUCUGAUACUGGAUGGCUGGAGUUUGGGAGAGGGAUGCGGAAUUCCAGGUGUAGCGGUGAAAUGCGUAGAUAUCUGGAGGAACACCGGUGGCGAAGGCGGCAUCCUGGACCAAUACUGACGCUGAACAGCGAAAGCCAGGGGAGCAAACGGGAUUAGAAACCCGCGUAGUCC